ACUCUCUAGUGACCGAUAGUGAACCAGUACCGUGAGGGAAAGGUGAAAAGCACCCCGGAAGGGGAGUGAAAUAGAACCUUAGGUCGUGUGGUUGCAAGUAGUCAGAUACCGUUAAUGGUCGAUGUCGUGCCUGUUGUAGAAGGAACCGGCGAGUGACGAUUUGAUGCAAGGUUAAGCAGGAUAAGUGGAGCCGUAGCGAAAGCGAGUCUGGCUAGGGCGUUUAGUAGUUGGUCGUAGACCCGAGACCAGGUGAUCUACCCUUGGUCAGGUUGAAGUUCAGGUAACACUGAAUGGAGGACCGAACCGACUUACGUUGAAAAGUGAGC
This 326-nucleotide ribosomal RNA is filed under the name Staphylococcus aureus. RNAcentral's name for it is "partial 23S ribosomal RNA". It matches the Rfam family "Bacterial large subunit ribosomal RNA", at positions 472 to 801 of the family's 2925-position model. The record is from RNAcentral. Lineage: Bacteria; Bacillati; Bacillota; Bacilli; Caryophanales; Staphylococcaceae.